Molecule: ribosomal RNA, 253 nt
Filed under: uncultured bacterium
Lineage: Bacteria
Description: partial 16S ribosomal RNA
Rfam family: Bacterial small subunit ribosomal RNA
Source: RNAcentral
UACGAAGGGGGCUAGCGUUGUUCGGAAUUACUGGGCGUAAAGGGCGCGUAGGCGGUCCUGAUCGUCGGAUGUGAAAGGCCUGGGCUCAACCUGGGAACUGCAUCCGAUACGGCGGGACUGGAGUGUGGGAGAGGUUGGUGGAAUUCCCAGUGUAGAGGUGAAAUUCGUAGAUAUUGGGAAGAACACCGGUGGCGAAGGCGGCCAACUGGACCACAACUGACGCUGAGGCACGAAAGCGUGGGUAGCAAACAGG